Molecule: long non-coding RNA, 930 nt
Filed under: Mus pahari (shrew mouse)
Lineage: Eukaryota; Metazoa; Chordata; Mammalia; Rodentia; Muridae
Description: predicted gene 28721 (MGP_PahariEiJ_G0005994.1)
Source: RNAcentral
GAGGGAACUAUGAAGGCUCGGUGUAGGCAGUAAUGAAGGCAUGCAGUUCAGGCCUAUGACCAAGUGGAGGUAACGGUUGAAAUUGAUGGAUCAGAGCAGCCUGGGCUUGAGCGUUUGGACAGAGAGAAUGUCAAAGCAGCUUUCUACAAACUCCCAAUCUGUCAAAGGGCAUUCCCUAGGUGCCUCAUGGGCUCAGUCAUAACCAGCCAAGGUCCCACCAGCACAGACUCCACCCUACCGAGGAAGAGCUGACUUCAAGUGGCAGCAAUUGUACAUGGGACCCUAUGGAGCAGAACCUCGAGCCUCGACCUUCACAUGAAGCACUAGGCCACUUUUUUAUGACAAGGCAUUUCUAGAAGCUUCUAGUUACUUGAUCCAAGGUCAACUUCUCCUGGUCAUGCCAUGUUUUAAUUUUCUUUCUACUGUCGUAAUAAACAGCAUGACCAAAAUCUACCUGUGGAGGAAAAGAUGCAUUUAGCUUAUAGACUGUAGUCCAUCACUGAGGGAAGUCAGAGAAGAAGUUCAAGGCACGAACCUGGAGGCAGGAACUGGGGCCAAGAGCACAGAGGUAUGCUGCUUAUGCUUGUUCUCCGUAGCUUUCCCACCCUGCUCUCUUAUAGAACCCAGGACUCUCAGCCCAGGAGUGUCACCACCAACAGUGGACUGAGGCUAGCGGCCCCCCACCCCCAUUAAUCAUUAAUCAAGAAAAUCUCUCCCACACAGAAUAGUCUACAGGCCGAUCUUUGUAAGCAUUAUCUCGAUUGAGGUUCCCUCUUCCCAAAUAAUUAUAGCUGGUGUCUAGUUUGUAGAGAGGGGAGGGGAGGCUAAUCAGCACACACCAGUAACUCAAAGAACUUUAGAAAUGUACUCUGAGAAAAUUUAAAUUCAUCUGGUCUAGGGAGCCUUUGGAACUCAGUUUCAACAGCUCCA